This 422-nucleotide ribosomal RNA is filed under the name uncultured bacterium. RNAcentral's name for it is "bacterial SSU rRNA". It matches the Rfam family "Bacterial small subunit ribosomal RNA", at positions 29 to 496 of the family's 1533-position model. The record is from RNAcentral.
AACGAACGCUGGCGGCAGGCCUAACACAUGCAAGUCGAACGCCGUAGCAAUACGGAGUGGCAGACGGGUGAGUAACACGUGGGAACGUACCCUUCGGUUCGGAAUAACUCAGGGAAACUUGAGCUAAUACCGGAUACGUCCGAGAGGAGAAAGAUUUAUCGCCGAGGGAUCGGCCCGCGUCUGAUUAGCUUGUUGGUGAGGUAACGGCUCACCAAGGCGACGAUCAGUAGCUGGUCNGAGAGGAUGAUCAGCCACAUUGGGACUGAGACACGGCCCAAACUCCUACGGGAGGCAGCAGUGGGGAAUAUUGGACAAUGGGCGCAAGCCUGAUCCAGCCAUGCCGCGUGAGUGAUGAAGGCCCUAGGGUUGUAAAGCUCUUUUACCCGGGAAGAUAAUGACUGUACCGGGAGAAUAAGCCCCGG